UCUACGGGAGUCAGCAGUGGGGAAUAUUGGACAAUGGGCGAAAGCCUGAUCCAGCCAUGCCGCGUGUGUGAAGAAGGCCUUCGGGUUGUAAAGCACUUUCAGUGGGGAAGAAAGCCUUGGGGCCAAUACCCUCGAGGAAGGACAUCACCCACAGAAGAAGCACCGGCUAACUCCGUGCCAGCAGCCGCGGUAAUACGGAGGGUGCGAGCGUUAAUCGGAAUUACUGGGCGUAAAGCGCGCGUAGGCGGUCUGAUAAGCCGGUUGUGAAAGCCCCGGGCUCAACCUGGGAACGGCAUCCGGAACUGUCAGGCUAGAGUGCAGGAGAGGAAGGUAGAAUUCCCGGUGUAGCGGUGAAAUGCGUAGAGAUCGGGAGGAAUACCAGUGGCGAAGGCGGCCUUCUGGACUGACACUGACGCUGAGGUGCGAAAGCGUGGGUAGCAAACAGGAUUAGAUACCCCGGUAGUC
RNAcentral lists this ribosomal RNA (465 nucleotides) under Vreelandella stevensii. RNAcentral's name for it is "partial 16S ribosomal RNA". It matches the Rfam family "Bacterial small subunit ribosomal RNA", at positions 338 to 795 of the family's 1533-position model. Lineage: Bacteria; Pseudomonadati; Pseudomonadota; Gammaproteobacteria; Oceanospirillales; Halomonadaceae. The record is from RNAcentral.